GACGAACGCUGGCGGCGUGCCUAAUACAUGCAAGUCGAGCGGACAAAAGGGAGCUUGCUCCCGGAAGUCAGCGGCGGACGGGUGAGUAACACGUGGGCAACCUGCCUGUAAGACUGGGAUAACUUCGGGAAACCGGAGCUAAUACCGGAUAGGUUCUUCCUCCGCAUGGGGGAAGAUGGAAAGACGGUUUCGGCUGUCACUUACAGAUGGGCCCGCGGCGCAUUAGCUAGUUGGGGGGGUAAUGGCCCACCAAGGCGACGAUGCGUAGCCGACCUGGGAGGGUGAUCGGCCACACUGGGACUGAGACACGGCCCAGACUCCUACGGGAGGCAGCAGUAGGGAAGCUUCCGCAAUGGACGAAAGUCUGACGGAGCAACGCCGCGUGAGCGAAGAAGGCCUUCGGGUCGUAAAGCUCUGUUGUUAGGGAAGAACAAGUGCCAGAGUAACUGCUGGCACCUUGACGGAACCUGACCAGAAAGCCACGGCUAACUACGUGCCAGCCGCCGCAGUAA
This 512-nucleotide ribosomal RNA is filed under the name uncultured bacterium. RNAcentral describes it as "partial 16S ribosomal RNA". It matches the Rfam family "Bacterial small subunit ribosomal RNA", at positions 28 to 523 of the family's 1533-position model. The record is from RNAcentral.